Molecule: small RNA, 134 nt
Filed under: Arabidopsis thaliana (thale cress)
Lineage: Eukaryota; Viridiplantae; Streptophyta; Magnoliopsida; Brassicales; Brassicaceae
Description: ATSL030180
Source: RNAcentral
AUUUUAGAGACAAUCUUAUAAAGGACAGAGCAAAGACUGAUGGGUCGAAUAUCCGUCAUUCUAGCAGGAUUUGUUAUCUUUGGAAUCAGACAUAAGUGAGUAUGGUUCCAAUCUUCAGGGAGAAUUCUUGUCUA